GGGUACAGACUAUGGGAAAAAAUAGGUGGUGGUAGGUCUUUCCAGGGUCAACGCCAAGGAGAGGCCUGAGAGGUGCAUAGCAAAGGCUGUGGCACUGACUCCAUGGCUCAGAGGAGGGAAAUCCAGGGAAGGGCUGAAUGCUCUGUGUUUAAGGGAGAGAUAGAAUGGACAGCUGGGCAAACACACACCCGGGGACUCCUUUCUCCAAGACCGAUGGGCAUUGGGGGUGGCAGAGGAAAUACCAGCAUGGAACAACAUCCCAGGGACCCGCGUCCUCCCCAGGUUACAGUCCUGGGUCCCUGCAUGGCUGCAUGUUGUCUGCAGGCCACAUCUCCUCAGGACUCCCGCACUCAUCACUUUCCCAUUGCUAUGGAAGAGAGGUGUCAAGGUGGCACCUGCCUCCCUGUCCGUAGUGCUCAGGUGUGUGGCUACCAGAGGAAAAGCCACUCCCAACCUUUGCCGACAACCAUCCCGUUUCUGGGUUCCUGGAGAAGUCUGGGAAGCUGCUCUGUUGUAGAGGCUGAAAGGAGGGCUGGUGAGAGCCCCCAGCUGAAACCAGCCCUGCCCCUUACCCUUCCUCACCCCUCUACCUUCACUCUCCUCCUAACACUCCAGGGUUUUGUUUUUUGUUUGUUUUUUGCUUUUCUCACCCCAGGGCUCCUGCCUCUCCAGCCUGGAGACAGAUUUGAUUUGGGAUUGUUACAAAAAUAAUAAUAACCCAAAUGCAGAGAAGCCACGGAAAGGGCUGAGGGCAACCCUCCCCUCCCCCCGCCCUCCUCCCUCCCCAUUCCAAACCGAGUACAAAACCGCACCCAAAGCAGACAUUCUGUACAGGGGGGUGGGUGGGCUGGGGAGCAAGCGGGAGGGGCGGCCCUGCGGUUGCUCUGUACAAGUCCGGGUUGGUGACGGCCCCAGCAGUCCCCACAGGGCCCCUGGGGGGCGCAGGAAGUGGGCAGGCGCCUCUAGAUGAAAUAUUCCUUCUUGUCGUCCCCUCCUGACUGCCCGCCUUCUGCAUUGAUGAUGGCCGUGUCCGCGUCUGGAGCAUCGUCGGAGCCUUUUGCCUCAUGUGUCAGUAGUGGCCAAGGAAGAUGAGCAUGAUGAGCAGCAGGAAGACAAUGAAAGCCACGAUCCCACCGAUGAUGGCGUGUCCCGCCCACUUAAGGAUAUUCCUGGAAGAAGAUGCAGUAGCUCCUUCUACCACCAGGCGUCAGCACUGGAAACAGACGCAGUCCAACAGGACUCCCUCUGCCUGGCUGUUGAGCACAAAGCAGAGGGGAGAUCAGCAAGAUACCAACCACAAGGGCACAAGAACUUUCUCUCACUGCCAAUCAUCAUCAGAUUGGUCUGGAGAGAUCUGGGGGCAGAGACCGGAGCUCAGUGCAUUGUCCUUGCUCUUGGCAUCCUACAAUAGCCUUGUUGUGCUGAGGCAGCUCCCACAUGCUGAGGUCUGCCCCUGGAGUGGGAAUCACCCAUCCAGACAUUCUGAUCCCAAGAACUCAGACCUCUUAUCGCUGGGAGGCCUGGCUCUUAUCCCCUCAACUGUUUUAAUGAGUGUCUCAAGUAAGGGAGCCUCUGAUGUUUCCCCGACAAUGCAUUUCCCCUAUUCUGAGAAAAGAUAAGACUUUCUGGCGGGACCCACAGCCAUUGGGAUCUUCAAAAAAAUCGCCCGUCAACUCUCCAUAAAGGGGCCUCUGUGUCACCCUGUCACUACUCCUGAAGCUGGGUUUUGUGGUCACAGCUUUGAGAAGAACUUCAGAGAAGGAGCAUCACCUGGUCCUUCUAGAAGAUAUGGCAUCUGAGAAAAGAUUCUGUCUCUUGGCAUAGUACAAGCUUCUCUCUAUUUUCUGUCCAGACCCAGUACACUGUGCUUAAGGUGGGCAGAAAAAAAAAUGACAGCAGUUGCAUGCACCCAAUACCUAGUCUUAGGAGAAGCAACUCUGAGAAGAGCCAGUUAGAGAAGGAAAUGCACCUGCGCCUGCACUUGAGAGGCUUUGGGGCCUCUGCACACAGAAUUAUUGUUCUUGUUGUCAGACAAGUGCAGGGGAUGGAAGAUGGUGUCACCCAGGCCACCACUACCAAAGAAAGGCAGAUGAGAGCCCACCCUUCUAAUGUUUUUUCACUAAGCGGCCAUUACACAUUCUAGAGUGGACCUGGGACCUAAGCCCUCAGGGACCCCAGUGGUGGGCUGGUUUUCCUUUACUCCACUCCCCGUCACAGUUUGGGGAUGUUAUCAGGAAGCAUUUUAAAAAAGGGAAUAAGAUGGACAGAGAAAGGAGAUUCUGGAGGAAGAGAACUGAGGAGGGCUUACCAUUAACAUUGAGGGUGUAGUAGGCCUUGUAGCUGCCCAUGUUGCUGGUGGCUGUGCAGCCGUAGGUGCCACUGUCACUCUUGUUGAGGAAAGGGAAGAUCAGGGCACUCUCCUGGGUCAUCUUCAGGGGUGGCACACUGCCCUCCUUCUCCCAUAGGUACUGCUGGGGGCUGUCGAGGCAGACAAAUCAGAAGAGCUCAGGAGAGCAUAGGCCAGGGAGCUAAAAGAAAAAAAAAAAUAACUGGGAGCAGGGAUGUCAAGGACUGUUUGAUGAGGCUGGAGAAAUUAUCGGGGCCAGAGACACUGGAGCUGCUAUACGCCAGGUGGCCUCUUGGGGUUCGUUCUGGGGAAGCUGUAGAUCUCCAGACUUGUAUCUUACUUUAACUUGGCCUUUGUGGGAAACUCAGGGACUGAGUUAGGGAGUGGCCCCUUCCCAUUUGUGCUGCUUUGCAGAAGAACUAAUUGCAGGCGGACAUUAUUGGACAGUCAGGGAAAUGAGAGGCUCAGGUCAGACAAUACAGAGGAGAUAGGAAGGAGCUGUUAUGUGAAGAAGGCAAUCUGAGAAUGUGGAGAGUAAGGAGGAGACCAGGAAAUGGAUCUUCUUACACUGGAUUGCCGCGACCCUCACAGUGUAGCAACAGCUUCUGGCCCUCACGAGGAUGGGGAGGGUCUGGCCUAAUCAUCGCAGUUGGUGUGUCUGUGGAGAAGGAAAUGGUAUCAAUGAAUACCUCCCCACACGGCUUAGGAGAUUCCCUCACUUAGUUGCACACUACAGCUUCUACCUCUAAAUGUUUCCGCAGCUCAAGAAGUGCAACAAAGACCUUCCUUCUCCUACUUCUCAUGAACAAGGACCAUUAUUGCUAUUGAAUAUGUGAGCAACUUCUCUUGCAACCUUGUGUGAUAGGAUUCUGGAAGGUCUGUCCUUGGUGGGCCCUAAGAGAUGUCUUAACAGAAAGCUGAGAAGGGAAAUGAGUGGUUUACCUGUGCCUAGCAAACCUCCUAGCACAUAGGAAAGACCUAAUACAUAUUUUUUACAGAACAAAUAAAGUUGAACUUGUCACAUAUUGAGCUCACAA
This 3384-nucleotide long non-coding RNA is filed under the name Homo sapiens (human). RNAcentral's name for it is "non-protein coding CADM3-AS1:3". The record is from RNAcentral. Lineage: Eukaryota; Metazoa; Chordata; Mammalia; Primates; Hominidae.